GCGAAGGUGGCGGAAUUGGUAGACGCGCUAGCUUCAGGUGUUAGUGUCCUUACGGACGUGGGAAUUGGUAGACGCGCUAGCUUCAGGUGUUAGUGUUCUUACGGACGUGGGGGUUCAAGUCCCCCCCCUCGCACCA
This 136-nucleotide transfer RNA is filed under the name Salmonella enterica. Its description in RNAcentral is "tRNA-Leu". It matches the Rfam family "tRNA". From Rfam's summary of the family: Transfer RNA (tRNA) molecules are approximately 80 nucleotides in length. Their secondary structure includes four short double-helical elements and three loops (D, anti-codon, and T loops). Further hydrogen bonds mediate the characteristic L-shaped molecular structure. tRNAs have two regions of fundamental functional importance: the anti-codon, which is responsible for specific mRNA codon recognition, and the 3' end, to which the tRNAs corresponding amino acid is attached (by aminoacyl-tRNA synthetases). tRNAs cope with the degeneracy of the genetic code in two manners: having more than one tRNA (with a specific anti-codon) for a particular amino acid; and 'wobble' base-pairing, i.e. permitting non-standard base-pairing at the 3rd anti-codon position. Lineage: Bacteria; Pseudomonadati; Pseudomonadota; Gammaproteobacteria; Enterobacterales; Enterobacteriaceae. The record is from RNAcentral.